Girardinichthys multiradiatus is the source of this 5151-nucleotide RNA transcript. It is a transcript of the gene named anoctamin-4-like, with no coding region annotated. The record is from RefSeq and is a predicted model, not a curated record. Lineage: Eukaryota; Metazoa; Chordata; Actinopteri; Cyprinodontiformes; Goodeidae. The transcript is spliced from 28 exons.
GUUUCUCCUUAUCCUUCAUUCAGCUUCUAACAAAAAUAUAACCAAGUAAAAAUAUUGUAAAAAUUUUUUGUUUGAUUCCUAAUAACUUACAUUCAAUCUAAAUCCACCCGAGACAGAGAACUGGUACAAUACGUCCUAUGUUAUUUUAACUUAAAAUUACUUAUAAACUGUUUUAUGGAAAUUUGGGUUUGGGCUAAAGCCCCCAAUGUUUUGAGACCCUAAAAACGCACCUGGGAUUAAGUAUUUUUGUGCUGCUCUUUUGCAAUUUUUAACCAGUCAAUUGAAAAAAAAGAUUUAACCUAAUCGAUUCUUAGUUCAAAACCUUAAGACAACUUUCAAAAACAUGAGUGAGAGCCUUUAAUUAGUUAUCCGUACAGAACCUCAAAACACUUGUUUUAUAAUUUGAUCAUUAUAUGAACCAACAUUUAAUUCUGCUUUCAGAAAAAGACUAAUAACCAUUUACUAAUUACUAGUUUUAAAUUUGAUUCCCAACAACUAAAAACAAAGAUCCCCGCAAGCUACCACUGCAACAUUAUCAACUGCGUGAAGCAGCCACGCCUGCGGUCACGCGCAAAGACAGCGACAUCAACCGCGUGGAAAGAACACAAGCUCAGCUGGCACGAGGGAGUUGAGGUGAACGCAUAUCCCGAGCUGUACGCUUGUACUGGGAUGAGUUGAAAAUGAAAUGAAGUGCGGGAGCGUCGCCGAAGCCGCGCGUAGUAUGUGCGAGCUCUGAGACAGAGGAUGCUGGAUCAUGAAGCGGCGGCCGAUAUGCGACUGGUCCAGCAAAUCGGCACGGGUAUGAAGAUCCAGGGCGGUGGCGAGCACGUCGGUUGCAGCAAGGUGGGAGAUGGCCAGGACAGCCGGGCUGUGUGCUUGCAAUGUCAGGAUGAAGUGGUGCGGGUCUGUCCGGGCAGCCCACACAGUCCCCGCCGCGCCUUCGCGACGCGCCUCUCCUCCGGAUCCGCAGACCGUGAACCCAGCAGCAGCAGCCACAAUGUGUCUUCAGGAACCUUUUACAGCUGUGUGAGUCAGAUCACAAUCGGGUUCGACCUCGGGGGUCAGGUGGCGAUUGGCUUCUCUCAUUGGAAGAGUCCUGUCAAAUCUAGCAGCCAGAAUCUCCCCAGUCUGGACUGUGUUCUAUCUGAGGCCUCAGCAGCCCCACCCAUUGAGCCGGUCUCCUGCCCUGCGUCACUGUCCAUCAACCCACUGCCCACCUGCAGUGCAAGUCAGGAGACGCUGUGUGACAGCAGCACGGAUGUGAGUUUAUCUCUACAUGGAUCUGAGCCCAAGCAGCAGAGCCCCCACCGACACAGAGAGCUGCUGCAGCCCUCGGCCUCUGGCUACCAGCCAGCGGAAAGACCUCUCGCUUUCCUGUACUGUGAGAGGGAGGACGUCAUGAAGGAGUCCUCAGAUGAAACCCUGGACUCCAGCAUUCAAGGCAACGUACCUCCACUGGAUGUGAAGGAGGUUAAGGUGGUGCUGCAAAAAGAAAGGUCAGAUGGCAUAAGCAGCCCAUCCAGAGAUGAUGACUCAACCCUUCAGAAACCUGCAAGCAGCAUCCUUGAUGACAACAGCAAAUCUCAAUUAGGCAUCAAAAAGGGGAGGAAUAAAUCGACUGGUGUUUGCUUCAGCGAUGGAAAAAGUCUCAUAGACUACAUCCUGGUUUACCGAAAGUCCAGCUCCCAGUCUGAGAAGAGGGAGAUUUUUGAGCGGAACAUCCGUGCUGAGGGGUUGUGCAUGGAGAAGGAGGCUUCUUUAACAAACAGCGACGUGAUCUUCCUGAAGCUGCAUGCACCAUGGGAUGUUCUCUGUCGCUAUGCAGAGCUCAUGAAUAUCCGCAUGCCAUUCAGGAGGAAGAUCUUUUACUUGCACAGACGACACAAGUUUUUAAGCAGGAUGGAGAAGCGCAUAAACAAGUUUCGGGGAUGGCUUCCCCGCAAGCCUAUGAAGUUUGACAACGACACUCUGCCCUACUUGGAGGAGAACGAAAGCUUCACAGCCCCCUUCAGUCGCUCAAGGAUCCAUCAUUUCAUCAUCCACAACAAAGACACGUUUUUCAACAAUGCCACCAGAAGUCGGAUUAUCCAUCACAUUCUUCAAAGGGUCAAAUAUGAAGAGGGAAAAAAUAAGAUGGGACUGAAUCGUCUUCUGACCAAUAACUCGUAUGAGGCCGCUUUUCCUCUUCAUGAGGGCAGCUACCACAGCAAAAACUCCAUCCGAACCCAUGGAGCAGAGAACCAUCGGCACCUGCUGUAUGAAUGCUGGGCCUGGUGGGGGGUCUGGUACAAGUACCAGCCACUGGACCUCAUCAGGAGGUAUUUUGGCGAGAAGAUCGGUCUGUAUUUUGCUUGGCUCGGCUGGUACACGGGGAUGCUGUUUCCUGCAGCUGUGGUCGGUCUGUUUGUGUUUCUUUACGGUGUUUUCACACUGGAGCACUGCCCUGUCAGCAAAGAAAUCUGCCAGGCCGCUGACAUCAUCAUGUGUCCCAUCUGUGACCAGUAUUGCCCCUACCAGAGGCUGUCAGACAGCUGCAUCUAUGCCAAGGUCACCCAUCUCUUUGACAACGGAGCAACUGUUUUCUUCGCUGUAUUCAUGGCAGUGUGGGCAACAGUCUUCCUAGAAUUCUGGAAAAGACGGAGAGCUGUCCUGGCAUACGACUGGGAUCUCAUUGACUGGGAGGAAGAAGAGGAUGAAAUAAGACCCCAAUUUGAGGCCAAAUACUCAAAGAAGGAAAGAAUGAACCCUAUAUCUGGAAAACCGGAGCCUUACCAGGCAUUCACUGACAAGUACAGUCGCCUCCUCGUCUCAUCGUCUGGAAUAUUCUUUAUGAUACUGGUGGUGAUUGCUGCAGUGUUUGGCAUCGUGAUUUACCGUGUGAUCACCGUCAGCACCUUCGCCGCAUUUGGCUGGGCACUCAUCAGGAACAACUCUCAGGUGGCGACAACAAGCACUGCUGUCUGUAUCAACUUCUGUGUCAUCAUGCUUCUCAAUGUGCUUUAUGAAAAAGUUGCUCUAUUCCUCACAAAUUUAGAGCAGCCAAGGACCGAGUCAGAGUGGGAGAACAGUUUUACCUUCAAGAUGUUCCUUUUUCAGUUCGUCAAUCUCAACAGCUCAACUUUCUACAUUGCCUUCUUUUUGGGAAGAUUCACCGGUCGGCCAGGCGCAUAUCUACGCCUUAUCAAUCGCUGGAAACUGGAGGAAUGCCAUCCCAGUGGCUGUCUGAUCGACCUCUGUAUGCAGAUGGGCAUCAUUAUGGUACUUAAACAGACGUGGAACAACUUCAUGGAGUUCGGCUACCCACUCAUCCAGAAUUGGUGGACCCGACAGAGGUUAAAGAGGGAGCACGGCCACAUACCCAAGGCCAGCCUCCCCCAGUGGGAGAAGGACUACAACCUACAGUCAAUGAAUGCUUAUGGACUCUUUGAUGAAUACCUGAAGAUGAUUUUGCAGUUUGGCUUCACCACCAUCUUUGUGGCAGCAUUUCCUCUGGCUCCCCUCUUAGCGCUGAUCAACAACAUCAUUGAGAUCCGUUUAGAUGCCUACAAAUUUGUCACACAGUGGCGGCGACCUCUGCCAUCACAAGCCAAAGACAUCGGAAUCUGGUAUGGCAUUCUGGAGGGUAUCGGCAUCUUGUCUGUCAUCACCAACGCCUUUGUCAUCGCUGUCACCACAGACUUCAUCCCGCGCCUUGUUUACGCCUACAAAUACGGACCUUGUGCUGGUCAGGGUCGAGCCGGGGAGGGGUGUAUGAUGGGUUACGUCAAUGCCAGUUUGUCUAUCUUCCGAGUUUCUGACUUUGAGAAGAGAUCUCAGCCAAGAACUAAUGGCUCUGAAUUUUUUGAAGAGGCUGUGAAGUACUGCAGGUAUCGGGAUUACAGGGAGCCUCCAGACUCAACUGAGCCGUACACCUAUACUCUGCAGUUUUGGCACGUCCUAGCAGCCCGGCUGGCGUUUAUUAUUGUUUUUGAGGUCUGUUUUUUGUGUUGUAGUUUUGUAGUUUGUAAGCAGGAAAACGUACACUUUAAAAUGUUCUUAUCACUAAAAUUUACGCAUUGUCAGUCACUGCUGGGAAUGGUCCUAUGAAUUGUAUGUGAAGGCACUUCAUAUUGUAAUAUUAAAGAAUUAACAGCUGGUCCUUGACCAGAUAAUUUAACUGCUGUUCCUAGACCAGAUUACCUGUGUAGACUGUCCUUCACCCUACCUCUGUAGAGGGCCACCAGACACCAGAGUAUAUGCAAAACACAGGAAUUUGUCAUUUAUUAAAAGGAGUUACAGCAAAUAUAUACCAAGACAUGUUCACAAAAUACCCUUCCCUCACCAUUAGGUAUUGGAGUCACUGGAAAAUGUAAGCAUGUCUCACAUCAAUAAAUGUAAAUAUGGUAAGAAUGAAAUAACAUUUCCAAUAUUCCAAUGAUCUAAAGAGCUGCGGCCACAACACCUUUCGAAGCUAAGGGAGGUAACAUUAUUCAGUACAAUACAGCAUUUAUAUAUUAUCUGUAAUGAUGUAGCAUUGGCCAGUAAGAAAAUUGGCAAAUCAGGAGAGCCUUUUGGCUACUCAGAGACUACUUGUCACUUCAAAUUUACAUUAUCUGAUCCAGUAAACAAUGCCAAACUACAGUCAAUAGCCAAAGAAGCUGUUCUGCAUUAGAGAGGAGUUUUUCAUGGGUGCAGCCCACUCACUGCUCAACCCAUGAAUGCAUUUCCUAACAGAUGUGGCACCGUUUGAGGGAAAAUAGAAAGGCUUUCCAUUAGUAUCCAAUUUGUUGCCAAGAUGUAUUUUACAGCAAAUAAAUAAUUGACCAAACACAAAUUUGCACACUCUUCAUUUUAGGUUUAGAUGACAUCCUGUUGCCAAAGCCAUAGGUGGUUACUUGAAGAAAGCAAAGUCCAAGAAAGAAAAUCCCUGAAUACCAGAUAUUUAAAGUAAAAAUGUAUUCUGAUAAUGUUGUUUUGUUGAUGUUGUGAAGUAUCUGAUCAUUUCUUUUAUCUUUUUUUUAUUCCAAACCUUUUGCCUACAGUGUAUGUGUUCAAUAUAUGAGUUGCCAGUCAAGUUAAGCGACACAAAUCUUGAAACCAAAAAUCACAGAAAAUCUGGUUUUAUUUACAUUAUGGAGAUCUGGCUCUUAGAAUUCUAAUGGAGGGGUCUGU